This 78-nucleotide transfer RNA is filed under the name Nitrososphaerota archaeon. Its description in RNAcentral is "Thaumarchaeota archaeon tRNA-Glu". The record is from RNAcentral. Lineage: Archaea; Thermoproteati; Nitrososphaerota.
AGCCCGGUCAAACUCUGUGUAUCGAGAGUAUUUCGGCCUUUCGAGUCGAAAACGCGGGUUCGAAUCCCGCCCGGGGCA